GAAUAAAUCUAAAAAUUUAGAAUUUAAUUUCGACUUAAAAUUAUGGUUACUAAAACACCCUAUUCA
RNAcentral lists this transfer RNA (66 nucleotides) under Trybliographa sp. ZJUH 20220008. Its description in RNAcentral is "tRNA-Arg". The record is from RNAcentral. Lineage: Eukaryota; Metazoa; Arthropoda; Insecta; Hymenoptera; Figitidae.